GGAGCGUCGAGGAGCCCCGGGAAGAUGACGGGGCCGCUGAUCUCCAGCACAGAGAUACUGUAGGGGAACUGCUUGACAGACCUGGUGUAGUGGGAGUCCAGCUUAGACCCCGGCGAGGUGGACCCGAUGCCCACCUUGCCCCCGGCGAGAUCAGUAAUGUUGAUGAACCCCAGGUUGCCCGGGGCGGCGCCCGUGGUCUGAAGCAGCGUCGUCGUCAGAACCGAACCCUCCGAGAGGUCGUGGAGCUUUUUGGCGUCGUAGUAGUCGAGGACGGUGAGCAGGCGGAGGGCGGCCUUG
Molecule: long non-coding RNA, 297 nt
Filed under: Spirodela polyrhiza (greater duckweed)
Lineage: Eukaryota; Viridiplantae; Streptophyta; Magnoliopsida; Alismatales; Araceae
Description: long non-coding RNA (SPOL_LNC000917)
Source: RNAcentral